This is a long non-coding RNA of Quercus robur (English oak), 423 nucleotides long. RefSeq lists it as uncharacterized. The transcript is spliced from 2 exons. The record is from RefSeq and is a predicted model, not a curated record. Lineage: Eukaryota; Viridiplantae; Streptophyta; Magnoliopsida; Fagales; Fagaceae.
UCUUAUAAAAAUUUGAGCUUUUUAAAUAAUUAUUCCAUCUGGGUUUAGCCCAAGUGUUUGUGGUUGAUAAUUUCCCUUGUUAGUGCUUUAGUUUUUAUUGUUUUGUUACUUGUUGCAUGAUUUGGGUUGCUGGUACCCUCUCUCUCUCUGUUUCUCCAAUUUUAGAUUUUGGAAUUUCAUAAUGUUACCUAGGGUUUUCCGUUUCUCAAUUUCAUUUUGCAUUACUUUUCUUCCUAUUAUUUCUCACCUAGGUUAAAAUCCGAAGUUUCUGUUAAUAAGGAAAGUGUUGUUGAUUGAUUUGAGGAUGAAAUCUGGGUGCUGGUUCCUCAACAGGAAAAAUUAUUGUUGUCAGUUGCAUUUUAUCGGUAGCCUUAAUAUCACUGUAUUCAAUUAUGUGGGCUUAUAAAAUUGUGGUUCCCUCUU